Molecule: long non-coding RNA, 286 nt
Organism: Amblyraja radiata (thorny skate)
Lineage: Eukaryota; Metazoa; Chordata; Chondrichthyes; Rajiformes; Rajidae
Exons: 3
Source: RefSeq, a predicted model, not a curated record
AGAUAUAUUAAAAGCAACAGUACAACAAAUACACAAUAAAUUACCAGUUACACCAGGUAAACCAGACCAUAAUAGUGCAAGCCUAAAAACGUAACACAACCUUAGUAGUAAAAAGUCCAGAGUAGGUCGGUAUUAAAGUAGGGCUGUGCUUAGGGUAGUAUUGGGUGGCUCGAGAGCUGAUGGGAAGAAGCUGUUGUUGAAGCUGGAGGCCACGGUUCUCAGGCUCCUGUUCCUUCUUCCUGAUGGCAGCUGCAAGAUGAGAGCGUGGGUGGCGCAGGGUGGCGAU